GCCGGUAUAGCUCAGCAUGGUAGAGCAACUGAUUCGUAAUCAGUAGGUCGGUGGUUCGAGUCCACUUACCGGCA
RNAcentral lists this transfer RNA (74 nucleotides) under Candidatus Kentrum sp. MB. RNAcentral's name for it is "Candidatus Kentron sp. MB tRNA_Thr_CGT". It matches the Rfam family "tRNA". From Rfam's summary of the family: Transfer RNA (tRNA) molecules are approximately 80 nucleotides in length. Their secondary structure includes four short double-helical elements and three loops (D, anti-codon, and T loops). The record is from RNAcentral. Lineage: Bacteria; Pseudomonadati; Pseudomonadota; Gammaproteobacteria.